This is a long non-coding RNA of Daucus carota subsp. sativus, 486 nucleotides long. RefSeq lists it as uncharacterized. The record is from RefSeq and is a predicted model, not a curated record. Lineage: Eukaryota; Viridiplantae; Streptophyta; Magnoliopsida; Apiales; Apiaceae. The transcript has 2 exons.
CUCCUUUUGGCCCCCUUAUUUUUUCACCCUUGUUUUACCUACCAUGAGACAAACCAUCUUCUCCUAAUGGGAUGGUUGCGCUCUCUCUUCUCUCCGUUGAAGAAGCUCUGGCUUCGGUUCAACUCAGCUAACAAGAAGAGCAGAGGGAUUUACAUCCUUUACGAAGAUGUCAAGUCCUGUCCUUAUGAAGAUGUGCAUGUGCUUUGGUCGAUAUUGGUGGAAUCGCAUGCACCUGCCUUGCCACCGAUCAAAUAAAGCUGCUUAGAGCUGCACACAAACACAAACAUAACAGAGGCUACAACAGAUUUUCAGAAUUCAGCAUGUACAUAGGUUAUUUAUGUCAGGUUUUGUAAUUAUAAAAUGUUUGUAUGGGUUUUUUUUUUUGGUUUUUCUUUUCUUUUCUACCCUGUUUUUGCAUAACCUUUUUAGCAGGCAGAGUGCCUCGCUUAAAAUUGUGCUAUAAAUUACAGAAGUGACUUGCUACAA